GACGAACGCUGGCGGCGUGCUUAACACAUGCAAGUCGAACGGAAAGGCCCUGCUUUUGUGGGGUGCUCGAGUGGCGAACGGGUGAGUAACACGUGAGUAACCUGCCCUUGACUUUGGGAUAACUUCAGGAAACUGGGGCUAAUACCGGAUAGGAGCUCCUGCUGCAUGGUGGGGGUUGGAAAGUUUCGGCGGUUGGGGAUGGACUCGCGGCUUAUCAGCUUGUUGGUGGGGUAGUGGCUUACCAAGGCUUUGACGGGUAGCCGGCCUGAGAGGGUGACCGGCCACAUUGGGACUGAGAUACGGCCCAGACUCCUACGGGAGGCAGCAGUGGGGAAUAUUGCACAAGGGGCGGAAGCCUGAUGCAGCAACGCCGCGUGCGGGAUGACGGCCUUCGGGUUGUAAACCGCUUUCGCCGGUGACGAAGCGUGGGUGACGGUAAUGGGUAAAGAAGCACCGGCUAACUACGU
RNAcentral lists this ribosomal RNA (467 nucleotides) under uncultured bacterium. RNAcentral's name for it is "partial 16S ribosomal RNA". It matches the Rfam family "Bacterial small subunit ribosomal RNA", at positions 28 to 506 of the family's 1533-position model. The record is from RNAcentral.